AUUCCAGCUCUGUAAGCGUAUACCAAAGUUGUUGCAGUUAAAACGCUCGUAGUCGAACCUUGGCGUGAGUUACGGAGGCUCCUAAUGGACGUUGAAGUAACUCCGCCUUUGUGGAGGGGGGUGUGGUGUUACUUAAUUGUAUUGCCGCAUUUCCGCCACUGUUUACUGUGAAAAAAUUAGAGUGUUCAAAGCGAGCGUUUGCCAUGAAUACAUUAGCAUGGAAUAAUAGAAUAGGACCUGGUCCUGUUUUAUUGGUUUGUCUGUAUCAGGUAAUGAUUAACAGGGACGGUCGGGGGCAUUUGUAUUCCAGCGUUAGAGGUGAAAUUCUUGGAUCGCUGGAAGACAAACAGCUGCGAAAGCGUCUGCCAAGGACGUUUUCAUUA
This 383-nucleotide ribosomal RNA is filed under the name Osmundea sp. Its description in RNAcentral is "partial small subunit ribosomal RNA". It matches the Rfam family "Eukaryotic small subunit ribosomal RNA", at positions 582 to 975 of the family's 1831-position model. The record is from RNAcentral. Lineage: Eukaryota; Rhodophyta; Florideophyceae; Ceramiales; Rhodomelaceae.